Oryza sativa Japonica Group (Japanese rice) is the source of this 336-nucleotide non-coding RNA. The record is from RefSeq and is a predicted model, not a curated record. Lineage: Eukaryota; Viridiplantae; Streptophyta; Magnoliopsida; Poales; Poaceae.
GAUAAUAUUUAACUACUGACAUGCAUAUGGAUGACUAUCAAGGAUGGUUGAAAAGCUAGCUAAUGAAUACUAAUCUGAGGCACUGGGGGCUGUACUUAUGCUGAUCUAAUUGUAAGUUUGUAUGUCAUACCAUAUUCGUCAGGCUCAGAAACCAAAGAUGGAAAUGCUAUGUUCAAGUUUGUGGCACUUAGGCUGUAUUUCUCAUUUUUCAGUAUUUUGGCAUCGAAGUAUGUUCUCUUUUUUUUCUGGAUUUAUUUCUGGUGCUUUGAAGCAUCGGCUUGGCUCAAUUUGAGAACUUGCAAUGCAUGUGUGUGAAUGUCUAUGGAUUUUCGGUGA